AGCGAACGCUGGCGGCAGGCCUAACACAUGCAAGUCGAACGAACCUUUCGGGGUUAGUGGCGGACGGGUGAGUAACACGUGGGAACGUGCCUUUAGGUUCGGAAUAACUCAGGGAAACUUGUGCUAAUACCGAAUGUGCCCUUCGGGGGAAAGAUUAAUCGCCUUUAGAGCGGCCCGCGUCUGAUUAACUAGUUGGUUGAGGUAAUGGCUCACCAAGGCGACGAUCAGUAGCUGGUCUGAGAGGAUGAUCAGCCACAUUGGGACUGAGACACGGCCCAAACUCCUACGGGAGGCAGCAGUGGGGAAUCUUGCGCAAUGGGCGAAAGCCUGACGCAGCCAUGCCGCGUGAAUGAUGAAGGUCUUAGGAUUGUAAAAUUCUUUCACCGGGGACGAUAAUGACGGUACCCGGAGAAGAAGCCCCGGCUAACUUCGUG
This 434-nucleotide ribosomal RNA is filed under the name uncultured bacterium. RNAcentral describes it as "partial 16S ribosomal RNA". It matches the Rfam family "Bacterial small subunit ribosomal RNA", at positions 29 to 507 of the family's 1533-position model. The record is from RNAcentral.